This 2575-nucleotide long non-coding RNA is filed under the name Cucumis sativus (cucumber). RNAcentral describes it as "long non-coding RNA (CSAT_LNC001532)". Lineage: Eukaryota; Viridiplantae; Streptophyta; Magnoliopsida; Cucurbitales; Cucurbitaceae. The record is from RNAcentral.
GAGAUUUGGCAAUUGAAUUGCAUGCAUUUUUGCAUGUAAUUAGGCUAUAAAUAGAGAUGUUUUCAAAUGUUGAAGGACUUUUGCCUCUUUUAUCAUUUUCAUAAUCUCAACAAAAGAAAAAAGAAAGCUUCCAAUCUCAUUUUAUCUCCAUUACUUUCUACAAAAAUUGGGUCCCACAACCCGGUUCUUUGUCUAGAGGAUAGCAGUUGAGUACUAGUGGUGGUCUCGGGUAGAAUUGGUAAGAAGACAUCAAACCUUUUGAAAGCUUCAAAGGUAAUACUUCUUAAAACCCUAAUUUGAUUAGUUUAUGGUUAGAUGUUAAUUGUGGCAAUUAGGGUAGAAAUUCGAUUCUUUUUCCGCUGUGCAUGACUUAGUUCUAUCAUGUGGUAUCAGAGCAUGCUUCAUUUUUACCCAAUUGCAUGUGGUGGGUUCAUAUUUAUUAGAUAAAUUUUGGUUUGAACUAAAAUGGAUAUAUUAUGAUUUUGGCUCUAGAUUAAGUGUUUUUGUUCUAAUUAUUGUAAUUAGCCUUGUUAAUGGCUUAUUUUUAUUGUUGCAAAGUGUUUGUAAUUUUUUAAAAAAAUAAAAAAAGUCAUUAGAGUUGAAGCUAGGCUGUAAUUGGUUCAACCGGGUGAGAGAAUUGAAAAAAAUGAAGAAAAGAAGGUCACAGACCCGAAAACCCGGUUUUGACCCGCUUCGCGACCCGCACGCGCCGCAUGCCCGCGCGCCCUCCUGCGCCGCGCGCCCUCCUGCGCCCGCGCCCUCCUGCGCCGCGCGCCUGCAUGCGCCCGCGCCUGUGCCGCGCCUGUGCGCCUGCGCAUGCGCGCGCGCCUUCGCCGCGCGCGCCUGCCUUCGCACGACCCGUGUGCGCCUGGGCCGGUUCAAGCCAAUAAAUUUGGUUUUUGGGCCGGUUCAAGCGGUUUCGGUUGGUUUUUUAGCCGGUUCGAAGUUUUUGGGAGUGGUUCUGUACUACAAAAUUAAUUAAAUUAAUUUAGCACUUAGCUUAAUUUAGGAGCCAAAAAUCAGUCCAUUUUAGGGUGUUUUUUUUAUUUAUGCAUGUGAUGUAUGAUUAAAUUACUUUAAAUUUGUAUGUGCAUUUUGAAUGUCAUAUAGAUUUAAAAUCCCACCAUAGGUUAACAUGUUCAUGCAUUAAAAUGUAUGAUAUAAAGGUUAUAUUGUAUUGUAUGCAUGUUAAUUGAUUAAUAUGGAAAUUAAUUAAUAUGAUUAAUUAAUUAUUUAAUUAAUUAAGUUAUUCUUGAUUAAAUAUGAUUUAAUCAAAUUAAUUAAUUAUUGUUUGAUUUAAUUUAAUUAAAUAUGAUUUAAUUAAAGUUAAAUAAAUUAAAAUCCAUAUUAAUUGAUUGUUUUUAUAAUUAUAUAUUGAUAAAAUGAUUGAUUAAGUUAAAGUUUUUUAAGUGUUAUAAAAUAAAUUAGACUUUUAAAAUCAAUAACAAAGAUUAAAUGCAUGCUCACUUAGGUUAAACAUAUCUUCCAUUUUUCAUAGAAAUAGGUCGAUAUCUUGUAAAACUGGUUACAAAAGGCUCACCUGGUUCAAUCUUGUCAACAAGUCAGAUAAGAUGACUAAGGUUGGAGGUUCUUAAGUUGACGGUUUACGGAACACCUCCUACCUGGAGAUCGUAAUCAGUUCUUGAGCCUAGUUAACCUAGUUUUAUGAGCAUUCGUGAGAGGUGUGAGGUAAUAAAAAUGGUUUUUCACCUAGACAUCAUAGGUUAAAAUCCUGUAUAAUGGUUAUACUUGGAUGUUUUAUCUAGACUUAAGAUUUGUUUAAGUUAGCCUAAAUAUAAAUCUUGAAGUUUGGAUUACCCUAUUUUUUUCUUUUAGAACACUUCAACUAGAGAAAAAUAAUGUAUUUUAGCUCUAGUGUCCCUAAGAGUUCACACCGUGAGGUCCAUGCAGGGCUUUGUGCCGUGCAUAGGAGCGGCCUCCCUUCGGAGAGUGUUUGCAUGGAUCAAAAUCAAGGUGAAUAGGGGAAGUAGUUCAUAGUAAGUGGGUGAGGGAUUUGUGGCAGCACAUCCCACGGUCUCUUCCAUUAGGUCGCACCGUGAGAUUUCUAUAAUAUGCCUGCUUGUCUGCCCUGGAGCGACGUUCCCUUCGGAGGGUUGUAUUAUAGGAUUCGGAACACCGCGAACUCCAAAACUGGAUAGGAUUUCUUAGAUUAGUUUUCAUAAAUGAUUCUAAUCUAUAAAAUCUGAAAAUGGUGGGUAACACUUACAAGAAUUACUAAGUUGUUAGUAUAUUCUUGACUAAAGUAGCGAUAACUAAGUGCUAUAAAGAAUAAAGAGUUAUUCUUGAGAUAGCAUCUAGUCAAGAUUGUCUUGGUUCAAAGGAGGAAUAAUCAACUACCCUUCGGAGAAGGUUGUUCUAAACCUUUGAAAUAUUGUUGCAAAAUACAAAUAAUGAAAGGGUACAUUAUUAGUAAUUGCUAAAUUAGAUUGGAUAUUUUUUAUGAUUAUAGUUUUUUCCUAAAAAGAAUAUGUUUGUUUUUCAGCAUGAAUAGCUCAAUAGUUCAACUUUUAGCUUCCGAAAAACUUAAUGGCGAUAAUUAUGCGGCUUGGAAAUC